Mercurialis annua (annual mercury) is the source of this 936-nucleotide long non-coding RNA. RefSeq lists it as uncharacterized. The transcript is spliced from 4 exons. NCBI's taxonomy places the organism in Eukaryota, Viridiplantae, Streptophyta, Magnoliopsida, Malpighiales, Euphorbiaceae. The record is from RefSeq and is a predicted model, not a curated record.
UCCAAAUCAUAGCUAACUUUUUGUUAUGUAGUGCUUUGCUCUUCACUAUUCACUGUUAACUCUUUUGCAACUCUUCUCAUUUCUAAUCUCUCUCGCACUCGCCGGAGAUUUCUCUCGUCAUUUCCUGCCGCCACAAUGUCCUCCGCUAAUAACGCCACAGCCAAGGCUUCUCAUACUAAAGACGAAGCUUAUCUCAACGCGGAUUAGCUUGCUGAAUGGGACUGUGAAGGAAGGAGAGAGACGGUUAUCAUCUUCGAUGGCUAAUGGCAUUUCAAAGAGUUUGGCUACGAAUGCUUUGAUUGCUCAACUUAACGGUUGGUUUUGGGAUAUGAAUAGGUUUGUUUUUCCGUUUUUUCUCCGUCUCUCUUCCUUAAUUUCAUUUUAUGUCAAGUUAAUCCAAGUGUUUGUAGAAAUUUCCCAAUGAAACUUGCUGUCAAUUUUUAGGUUUUAGGAUUAUAUUCAUCCUGAAUUUAGAAGUGUAUUGCUCUAUAAUUUUUUAGGUUUUAGAAGUGUAUUGAUCCAUAAUUUUUUAGGUUUUAGAAGUGUAUACAUCUGUAGUUUAUAUACUUGAUUAAUAAUGGAAUUGACUAAUGAUAUUUGUGGUUUCAUUUUGUGCUAAAAAAUAUCUGAGUGUACAAAUCCUUAUCGUCACUGUUUUAAUUAGAUACUGAUUUCACUAUCGGCUGUUCAAACAACUACAAUUGCUUGCUUCAAUUCAUAGCUCUUCUUGCUCUUUAUUUCAGGGGAGCUGCAGCCAAACACCGCCGCUCGCUACCUGCAUCGAUAUCGACGCCAAAGCCGCUGCUCUCUGCCGACGCCAAAACAGCUUCUUGCUGGCGACCUUUUGACGCCACCACUCAUUCCCUGAUCAAUCCCUUGUGAUUAGAAUUGUGAGUGACAAGGAUGCUUAAGAGAAUGUCAUUGUUAUCCAGGUAA